GUUUAUUAAACUUUAUAUGAAUGACAUAUACCGAAUAGUUUACCACGUGCUAUCUAGGAAAAGAAGUUUUAUUAUUUCAGAAAGUGAAGCAAGUUUUUGCAUAAGGUGUUUUGUGUAUUUCGAAUACAUGUUUUAAACACAUUUUAAUAUCGCUCAAGAUUUAACUGCGAGUGAUCGUAGCAAAUCAAAAAUCGAUUUGCGAUAUCGAUCUAUAAAGAUGAAAGAUUCGAUGUUAUGAAUUUUCAUAUCGUUUUACGAUUGGUAUCGUGAUCGUGAUGAAUGAAACAUUAAUUUAUGAAAUUUACCGAAUUCGCUAUAGAGCUACGAACUUAUUUAGAUUCGUCCGAAUGGUCAAAGAAUGGAAACAAAAGAUGUGUACUUGAAAUAUUUAUUUCACAAGCAAUUUAAGUACAAUCA
Bombus terrestris (buff-tailed bumblebee) is the source of this 417-nucleotide long non-coding RNA. RefSeq lists it as uncharacterized. NCBI's taxonomy places the organism in Eukaryota, Metazoa, Arthropoda, Insecta, Hymenoptera, Apidae. The record is from RefSeq and is a predicted model, not a curated record. The transcript has 3 exons.